ACUUUCAACAACGGAUCUUUUGGCUCUGGCAUCGAUGAAGAACGCAGCGAAAUGCGAUAAGUAAUGUGAAUUGCAGAAUUCAGUGAAUCAUCGAAUCUUUGAACGCACAUUGCGCCCGCCAGUAUUCUGGCGGGCAUGCCUGUUCGAGCGUCAUUACA
Molecule: ribosomal RNA, 158 nt
Filed under: Fusarium solani
Lineage: Eukaryota; Fungi; Ascomycota; Sordariomycetes; Hypocreales; Nectriaceae
Description: 5.8S ribosomal RNA
Rfam family: 5.8S ribosomal RNA
About the family: 5.8S ribosomal RNA (5.8S rRNA) is a component of the large subunit of the eukaryotic ribosome. It is transcribed by RNA polymerase I as part of the 45S precursor that also contains 18S and 28S rRNA.
Source: RNAcentral